This 483-nucleotide ribosomal RNA is filed under the name uncultured bacterium. RNAcentral describes it as "partial 16S ribosomal RNA". It matches the Rfam family "Bacterial small subunit ribosomal RNA", at positions 28 to 523 of the family's 1533-position model. The record is from RNAcentral.
GAUGAACGCUGGCGGUGUGCUUAACACAUGCAAGUCGAACGAUGAAGCCGGAGCUUGCUCCGGUGGAUUAGUGGCGAACGGGUGAGUAACACGUGAGCAAUCUGCCCUUGACUCUGGGAUAACUGCGGGAAACUGUAGCUAAUACCGGAUACGACACCUUGGGGCAUCCCAGGGUGUGGAAAGAAUUUCGGUCAAGGAUGAGCUCGCGGCCUCUCAGCCAGUUGGUGAGGUAAUGGCUCACCAAGGCGACGACGGGUAGCCUGCCUGAGAGGGUGACCGGCCACACUGGAACUGAGACACGGUCAAGACUCCUACGGUAGGCAGGAGUGGGAAAUAUUGCACAAUGGGCGAAAGCCUGAUGCAGCAACGCCGCGUGAGGGAGGAAGGCCUUCGGGUUGUAAACCUCUUUUAGCAGGGAAGAAGCGAAAGUGACGGUACCUGCAGAAAAAGCACCGGCUAACUACGUGCCAGCAGCCGCCGUAA